UAGGAAGGUAAUCGCAGAUUAGGAUCCCAGUUUAGACCACGAAGAGCAAAAAGAAGAAAUUGUUUCUGGACUGACUCAAUGCGAUCCUGAAGCAGUUUAUACUGAGGACACCAAACACAUGAGCAGUAUUCUAGCACUGGUCGUACUAAAGAACUGUAAAGUAGCUUGGUAGUAUAGGGAUCGUUAAAUUCUCUAGACCAUCGUUUAAUAAAACCAAGAACACCAUUAGCUUUGUUAACGAUAGUGGAGAUGUGAAGAUUGAAAUUCAAUUUGGAAUCAAAAAGAACUCCAAGAUCUUCAACUGUAGAUAUACAGUGCAAUGGUAUAUUGUCAAUCGCAUAAGUACCAAGAUGUGGUCUGGACCGGUGAAAAGUCAUAAACUUGCAUUUAGAACAGUUAAGGUGCAGGUGGUUGACCAAGCACCACCGUUGAAAACAGUUUAGCUCAUACUGCAGACGAGACUGAUAAAGCGGAUCUUUAUACGAAAAAAUAAGCUUUACAUCAUCGGCAUACAUUAGUAUACGGGAAUGCAGCAGGAUAGACGGAAGAUCAUUAAUAAAUAGAGUGAAUAAUAGGGGGCCGAGAUGACUACCUUGAGGUACGCCCGAAGUUACGAUAACAGGCUUAGAAAUAUUUUACCUGAGUAGUACCUUCUGUGUCCUAUUUUUUAAGUAUGAGGAAAUCCUAUUCAAAGCGUUUGACGGAAAUCCCAUACGAGAUAGCUUUAAGAGGAGAAGGUCGUGAUUCACAGAAUCAAAUGCUUUGCUGAAGUCAGUAUAUAUAACAUCAGCUUGCAUCUUUGCUAGGAAUGCAUCAUUUAUGACAGAUGUAAAUUCUAGCAGAUUAGUCGUUGUUGACCGUUGUUGAUCCAUGCUGAGCAGGGGAGAUUACAGACUUACAAUGAUGCUGUAAAGAGGAAGUAAUUAUUUUUUCAAAUAAUUUAGGAAUAGCAGACAGUUUGACAAUGCCCCUAUAGUUAGAAAUGUCUGACUUACAACCCUUUUUGUGGAGUGGUAUAAUAAACGAUUCUUUCCAAAAAGCAGGAAAGAUUUCGUUCUCAAGGGACAGAUUAAAAAGCUUAAGCAACUGCUUGCAGAGGGAGGUACUACACUUUUUGAGCACACAACUAGGAAUGUUGUCAGGCCCAGGAGAGAAUGAAGCUUUUACAGAUUGUAUAUUAGACAAAAUACAAGAAUCUGUAAUUAUUGGAGCAAAAGUGAAAUUUGAAGGCAUAAUGCAUUUGGAGCGGUCAUUUCAUAAAAGGUUUGAUCGCUCUAGAUGUCUUAAACUCUGAUGAUAGCAAUAUCAUCAGAGUAGUUUCAUGCAGAGUCUUCGGCUUCAAGACCUUCAUGUUUCACUCCGGUCAUUAGGAGUGGUCCAUGUUGGUUCCAUCACGUUUCUACAGAUCCUUACUACCUUGGCAUAACACCCAAAUAAGGUACAAAGUAAACGGAAUUCGGGUCCAACACCUGUCGUCGCUACUAAUUAUCAGAAAUCUACUGGAAUGCGGUAGCAUAGGCGCUGGAAGGACCAGACAUUCCGGAAAAAAAAUAGCCAACUGCCUCGUCAUCUAAUUAGUGUCGCGCAUGAAUGGGUUAACGAGAUUUCUACUCUCCCUAUGUACUAUCUAGCGAAAACACAGCCAAGGGAACCGGCUUGGAAUAAUUAGUGGGGAAAGAAGACCCUUUUGAGCUUGACUCUAAUCUGGCACUGUAAGGAGACUUAAGAGGUGUAGAAUAAAAUAAUAACAUUAGAUUUCGGUUUACUAUCGCCAAUUAAAUACCACUACUCUUAUUUUUUCCUUACUUACUUGAUUUAAUGGAUUUCCUAGCCAUUAUACGGGUAUAUUUUUAUAUGUCUUAUGGUAUUGGGUUUUGAUGCAAGCUUCUUGAUCAAAGUGUCAUAAGUUUGUUAUAUAAUUUCAAACAAAUUUUAUAAUGAGACGAUGCGCAUUUAUGUGUGUUUUCAAUUUAUGAAUUUGGUAUAACACCAAUUACUCCGGUAUGAUCCAAUUAAAGGACAUUGCCAGGUAGAGAGUUUGACUGGGGCGGUACAUCUCUCCAAUAAUAACGGGAGUGUGCAAGGCCAGCCCAGUGCGGACAGAAACCACACAUAGAGCAAAAGGGAAAAAGUUGACUUGAUCUCGGUGUCCAGUACACGCAGGGACAGCAAAAGCUCGGUCUAUCGAUCCUUUUGGUUUAAAGAGUUUUUAGUCAGAGGUGUCAGAAAAGUUACUAUAGGGAUAACUGGCUUGUGGCGAACAUGCGUUCAUAGCGACGUCGCUUUUUUAUCCUUCGAUUUUCGGCUCUUCCUAUCAUUGGGAAGCAAAAUUCACCAAGCGUUGGAUUGUUAUCCCAUGCAAAAGAACUUGAGCUGGGUUUAGGCCGUCAGGUUAGUUUUACCCUACUAAUGACAAAAACGUUGUUGCGACAGCAUUCCUGCGUAGUAUGAGAGGAACCGCAAGUACGGACCUAUGGCACAAUACUUGUUCGAGCGAACAAUGGUAUGGUAUGAUAAGGUCGUAUCCGUGCUGGACUGCAAUGAUAAAAAGGGGACAAUUUGCACUGUAUGGCUUCUAAAUCAUUAAAAGUUUAUAUGCAUUUAUAAACGACAAUGAAUGUGAUACCAAUGUUAUGAGUAACAUAGAUAACUUUGGAGGAUCUUCGAUCACCUGGUGCCAAUGCUAGUUACUUAUAUAUAUACAGGGUGCGCCAUCUUUUAUGUCCGUAUAUAACAUUGAAAAUAAACAACCGAUUUUCAAGUAUGAGAUAUUUUUAUUUAAUUUGGUUCUGUACAAUUUCUUCAGACUAAUUUUUGAAAACAACAUCAAUAGAGUGGACACAGCAAAAUGUGUCAUUUUUGCUGCGUUUUCCAUCACUUUUUCUAGCAUCUCAG
This 2895-nucleotide ribosomal RNA is filed under the name Scaptodrosophila lebanonensis. RNAcentral describes it as "eukaryotic LSU rRNA". The stretch from base 1186 to 2887 matches the Rfam family "Eukaryotic large subunit ribosomal RNA", at positions 1889 to 3399 of the family's 3401-position model. Lineage: Eukaryota; Metazoa; Arthropoda; Insecta; Diptera; Drosophilidae. The record is from RNAcentral.